This 770-nucleotide small RNA is filed under the name Pan troglodytes (chimpanzee). Its description in RNAcentral is "processed transcript". The record is from RNAcentral. Lineage: Eukaryota; Metazoa; Chordata; Mammalia; Primates; Hominidae.
ACUGGCAGAGUAGAGCCAGCCUGGGUGCUGGAGUCAGACUGCAGACUUGGUUCCCUGCUCGUCCCAGUUCUGCUGCCUGCGGACAAGUUAUUUCAGCUCUCUUAGCUCCACAUGAUUUUUUUCAUCUGUCAGGUACUCUGAUGGCUACUGCAGCUCCUCCCUCCUCCGGGCCGUGGCCCACCUGCGGUCCCAGCUCUGGGCCCACCUCCCUCGAGCCCCCCUAGCUCCCAGAUGGAGCCCCUCUGCCUGGUGCUGGGUUGGGGGAGCCCUGCUAGGCCCCAUGGUACUGAGUAAGCGUCCCCACCUCUGCCUUGUGGCCCUGUGUGAGGCAGAAGAGGCCCCUCCUGCCAGCUCCACACCCCAUGUCGUGGGGUCUCGCUUUAACUGGAAGCUCUUCUGGCAGUUUCUGCACCCCCACCUGCUGGUCCUGGGGGUAGCCGUCGUGCUGGCCUUGGGUGCGGCACUCGUGAAUGUACAGAUCCCCCUGCUCCUGGGCCAGCUGGUAGAGGUCGUGGCCAAGUACACGAGGGACCACGUGGGGAGUUUCAUGACUGAGUCCCAGAAUCUCAGCACCCACCUGCUUAUCCUCUAUGGUGUCCAGGUACAGCCGGGAGUGGGGCUGGGGGCCGCCGAGGAGCCACCCGAGGCAUCCCUGAGUGCACUGGGCUCUUGCGCAGGGACUGCUGACCUUCGGGUACCUGGUGCUGCUGUCCCAUGUUGGCGAGCGCAUGGCUGUGGACAUGCGGAGGGCCCUCUUCAGCUCCCUGCUC